UUUUAACGGCCGCAGUAUAUUGACUGUGCAAAGGUAGCAUAAUCAAUAGUCUUUUAAUUGAAGGCUUGAAUGAAUGGUUGGACGAGAUAUUAACUGUUUCAUUUAAAUUUAUAAUAAAAUUUUAUUUUUUAGUUAAAAAGCUAAAAUUUAUUUAAAAGACGAGAAGACCCUAUAAAUCUUUAUAUUUAAAUUAUUAUAAAUUUAUAGAAUUUUUUUUUUAUUAUAAUAUUAAAUAUUUUAUUGGGGUGAUAUUAAAAUUUGAAAAACUUUUAAUUAAAUUUAUCAUUAAUUUAUGAUUUAUUGAUCCAUUAUUAUUGAUUAAAAAUUUAAGUUACUUUAGGGAUAACAGCGUAAUUUUUUUGGAGAGUUCUUAUCGAUAAAAAAUAUUGCGACCUCGAUGUUGGAUUAAGAUAUAAUUUUAGG
This 423-nucleotide ribosomal RNA is filed under the name Limnophora simulans. RNAcentral describes it as "partial 16S ribosomal RNA". Lineage: Eukaryota; Metazoa; Arthropoda; Insecta; Diptera; Muscidae. The record is from RNAcentral.